CCUUUGACGUUAGCGGCGGACGGGUGAGUAACACGUGGGUAACCUACCUAUAAGACUGGGAUAACUUCGGGAAACCGGAGCUAAUACCGGAUAAUAUUUCGAACCGCAUGGUUCGAUAGUGAAAGAUGGUUUUGCUAUCACUUAUAGAUGGACCUGCGCCGUAUUAGCUAGUUGGUAAGGUAACGGCUUACCAAGGCUACGAUACGUAGCCGACCUGAGAGGGUGAUCGGCCACACUGGAACUGAGACACGGUCCAGACUCCUACGGGAGGCACAGGC
RNAcentral lists this ribosomal RNA (278 nucleotides) under uncultured Staphylococcus sp. Its description in RNAcentral is "partial 16S ribosomal RNA". It matches the Rfam family "Bacterial small subunit ribosomal RNA", at positions 83 to 350 of the family's 1533-position model. Lineage: Bacteria; Bacillati; Bacillota; Bacilli; Caryophanales; Staphylococcaceae. The record is from RNAcentral.